This 510-nucleotide ribosomal RNA is filed under the name Trichotropis cancellata. Its description in RNAcentral is "partial 16S ribosomal RNA". The record is from RNAcentral. Lineage: Eukaryota; Metazoa; Mollusca; Gastropoda; Littorinimorpha; Trichotropidae.
AGAAUUUUAAUGGUCGAACAGACCAACCCUUAAAGACGGCUGCAUCUUCAGGAUAUUCUGGUCCAACAUCGAGGUCACAAGCCUUUUUUUCGAUAAGAACUCUCAAAAAAGAUUAUGCUGUUAUCCCUACGGUAACUAAUUCCUUUAAUCAGAAAUUCUGGAUCAUUGUGUGUCUACUUUUUUCUAGGAAGAAGCUUUAUUUGUUCCUUAGUCGCCCCAACCAAAAUUUUUAUAGGUAAAGGUUUUAAUUAACUAUACCUACUAGCCCUAUAAUUACUUUAAAGCUCGAUAGGGUCUUCUUGUCUUUUAAUUAAAUUUAGGCUUCUUCAGCUAAAGAUUAAAUUUUAUAAAAUUGUAUAGAGACAGCUUUGCUCUUGUCAAACCAUUCAUACUAGCCCUCAAUUAUAGGGCAAAUGAUUAUGCUACCUUUGCACGGUCAGAGUACCGCGGCCGUUAAAGAUUUUCUCACUGGGCAGGUCCGACUCUUUAUAUUUUUAUAGUCAAAGAGCC